UUAACGUACUUCAAAUAAUAAUUUUCUGAAACCCGAACUAUUUAUUGUAAUUAGCGAGCAUCAAAUAUUCGUCAGUACUAGUUUUUCUCCAAUAUGUUAACCACUUAAAAAUGAGUGCCUUGAUAUAAUUUGUACUCUUCCGAAUAAAACUUGAAAGAAGCAAAACCCAUGAAAUAAUAUUAUCUACAACAAGAAGUUUUUCCCAACUUAUUUGGGUCGCUGGGGAGAACCUAUUCCCAUGCUGUAUGAAUCAAGUACCAUCUAGCCGCCGUUCUGCACCGGUGCCCAUUCAACUGCAAUAAGGGCCUGCAUCCGAACACCUCCACCUCCAGUCAACAGAGGCUACGUGGAGCCGAAGUCCCUCCAAAACCUGAGGACGGCAAUGGAGAUCCCUCGACGGACGCAAAAGAUAAGUAGUCCUCUUGCAGUCAGGUGUUAGCAAAGUGCUACUGAACAAAUUAGUUUCCUUGACAAUUUUCUUUUUGUUAAUAAUCUUCAAUUUCCUUUCUUCAGUAUUUUAAAUAGCAAUAAUGUGUAUCUAAUUGAUUUAUUAGGGUCAAUAAAUGAAUAUGUAAAA
RNAcentral lists this long non-coding RNA (577 nucleotides) under Diabrotica virgifera virgifera (western corn rootworm). RNAcentral describes it as "uncharacterized LOC114324313". Lineage: Eukaryota; Metazoa; Arthropoda; Insecta; Coleoptera; Chrysomelidae. The record is from RNAcentral.